RNAcentral lists this ribosomal RNA (229 nucleotides) under uncultured bacterium. Its description in RNAcentral is "partial 16S ribosomal RNA". It matches the Rfam family "Bacterial small subunit ribosomal RNA", at positions 568 to 796 of the family's 1533-position model. The record is from RNAcentral.
UACGUAGGCGGAAUAUUAAGUCAGUGGUGAAAUCCUGCGGCUCAACCGUAGAACUGCCAUUGAUACUGAUAUUCUUGAAUAUAGUUGAGGUAGGCGGAAUGUGUAAUGUAGCGGUGAAAUGCUUAGAUAUUACACAGAACACCGAUUGCGAAGGCAGCUUACUAAACUAUGAUUGACGCUGAGGCACGAAAGCGUGGGGAGCGAACAGGAUUAGAUACCCUGGUAGUCC